This is a long non-coding RNA of Bos taurus (domestic cattle), 1858 nucleotides long. The record is from Ensembl. Lineage: Eukaryota; Metazoa; Chordata; Mammalia; Artiodactyla; Bovidae.
UCACCCAACCAAGUAGAGUUCAGUGUCUGGGUGGAAAGGAAGAUGCAUUCCAGCUGUCCCCAAAAUGAAGAAAAGCAGAAGAUGGUUUCCGCCCCCCCUUCUUCAGUGAAAUAAACCUGACCUUCUGAUAGGAGAGUCUGUCUUGAAUCAGAAAUGGUUUAACUAAAUCACAACAGGAAGCAUCUCCAGUUACAGCCCAACUUGCUCUAGGUCCUGAUGGAUGAAGAUAGCAUGCCACUUGACUUCAUGAAACUCGGGGUGUAGCAGGUGAUUACACAUCCUUUGGUUGUGGGGAAGCCUGGGCUAUCACAGAGAGAAGAAGCUGAGUGAAUUAUUUAAAAAGUAUGCAGCAAAGGCCUGUGAAUCGUCGGGGAGGUGGGAUGGCGUCUCUCCCUCAUUCGGGGGCCUCUCCGAGGAAUAGCAGAAGGGACCCCAGAAGGCUUGUUGGACACCAGUUUAAUUCGGAAAAUAGAGCAGCACUUCACCUCGCGUGUGCUGGGUGGGGAAUUGUAAAAGAGGACACAGUCAAAAUAGUCAUUAAGGCCAAACCAGAGUCAGCCCAAAGCCAGGCCUGCAUUCCCAGGAACCUGCUGGGCCGUGGUAUUUGCAUACAUCAGUCUCCAGCCUCCAUUGUCUCCCACAGGAAGAACUUGUUCCAUUCCAUUAAGAACGCCUGAAUAUUUUAUUGGCUAAAAACUAGGGGCCUAGGCUGGAUGGUAAACAAGUUUGGAGUGCUGUUUUUGAGUUGUGUUUAUGUUUUAUACAUGGAACAGUUUUAAGUAUUUUUUUGUUAAAUUCAAAACACUCCAGAAAUUCUGCAACUUAAGGCGACAACCACUGCAAAAGUUCCAGGGCAACAUUUGGACACUUUCAAGAUUACUUCAGGGACUUGAAUGCUGAGAAACAAGAAGGGACAACUUUUAUUAAGAAAAACAUUUUAGUAGCUGAAUACAGAAAUCAAAACCAAGAGUAGGCGUUCCAAAUUCAUAUUGUGAAGCGCCUACAAAAAGAUUCUUCUGUCAGCUUUCACAGUGUGGAGAGUUCAUCUUUUCAUCUCAUCAAGUGAAAAUAUGCCCCAAUUCCCGACCGGAAUGUGGACUCUGCUUUCAGCAAUGAGCAUCAGACAUGACAAGCCCUGAUUUUGUUCAGUUAUCAGCCCUUCACCUGUCAAGCCAGUGCCUCAGGAAGCUUGAUCCCACCUCCAGCCCAGUAAGUGGACCUGAUUGGUCAAAGGCAUGGCCUAUCCGUCUGGCCAGGGAUCGGUUCAGGAAUAGACUUGAGACCAGAUUCAGGAAUGAAUAUGAGGGACAUUCUUCUUCUUCCUGCAUGUGAUCCCUUGAACUGCUGCUACCACCUUGCCACCUGCCUAAGGAGGAAGGUCAAUGCUGAGGAAUCGGAGCAAAGAGAUAGGAAGAACAUGAGUCUAUGGCAUUGUUGUGCUUUGCUGUCUCUGGACUUCUUUUACGGAAGAAUUCAUCAUCUCAACUGCCCCGAGUCUACGAGAUAUGUCCACAGACGAGCUGACUGCCUACACCAUAGUCCACACCGUCGGUAGCGUUAGCUCCACUGAGACAGAUGUGUUUCCAAAACGCACAGAGGGAUUUGCUGGCCUGAGCAUAGCAAGAGUGUGAUAACUGAAAAAAAAAAAAAAAACAUAAAGUGGGAUCAUGCCCACCCAUCCCUCUGGUUAGACUGCGUGUUUUGUGCAGAAAACUAUGUUUGGGUAGCUCCUCCUCGGGGUAAAGAAAGAAAGAGCUCUGCGCCUGAAGAAACCCCGGACCUGGUAUGCUGGGAGGAAGGUCUGCUCUUCCAGGGUGAAGCCAUUCAUGACAGACCCAGGGAUGUGCGUACUUUGUUU